GAUGAACGCUGGCGGCGUGCCUAAUACAUGCAAGUCGAGCGAACAGACGAGGAGCUUGCUCCUCUGACGUUAGCGGCGGACGGGUGAGUAACACGUGGAUAACCUACCUAUAAGACUGGGAUAACUUCGGGAAACCGGAGCUAAUACCGGAUAAUAUAUUGAACCGCAUGGUUCAAUAGUGAAAGACGGUUUUGCUGUCACUUAUAGAUGGAUCCGCGCCGCAUUAGCUAGUUGGUAAGGUAACGGCUUACCAAGGCAACGAUGCGUAGCCGACCUGAGAGGGUGAUCGGCCACACUGGAACUGAGACACGGUCCAGACUCCUACGGGAGGCAGCAGUAGGGAAUAUUCCGCAAUGGGCGAAAGCCUGACGGAGCAACGCCGCGUGAGUGAUGAAGGUCUUCGGAUCGUAAAACUCUGUUAUUAGGGAAGAACAAAUGUGUAAGUAACUAUGCACGUCUUGACGGUACCUAAUGAGAAAGCCACGGCUAACUACGUG
This 497-nucleotide ribosomal RNA is filed under the name uncultured bacterium. RNAcentral's name for it is "partial 16S ribosomal RNA". It matches the Rfam family "Bacterial small subunit ribosomal RNA", at positions 28 to 507 of the family's 1533-position model. The record is from RNAcentral.